RNAcentral lists this long non-coding RNA (277 nucleotides) under Hordeum vulgare. RNAcentral describes it as "long non-coding RNA (HVUL_LNC019205)". Lineage: Eukaryota; Viridiplantae; Streptophyta; Magnoliopsida; Poales; Poaceae. The record is from RNAcentral.
AUGUCUAUAUGUCUUGUUAUGCACGAGCAACAAGACAUGUAGUAGUGCCAUGUAAUUUUGUGAGAUGGAAGGAUGUGUGUCACAUUAGCCAAAGAUUUUGUAUCAAAGAAAAAUGUUAACGGUAGUGAAGCAAUACAAAAGAACACAUCAUUACCGCUUAACAUUAUAUGUUCAAGUGCAGUUUACAUAUGUUUCAUACUCACCAAGAUGGUUGGUUGGCUCAUCAAGCAAAAGGAUGGUCGGAUUCAUGAACAGUGCCCUUGCCAACGCAAUCCGC